UCGAGAAUCAUUCGCAAUGGGCGCAAGCCUGACGGUGCGACGUCGCGUGGAGGAUGAAGGUCUUCGGAUUGUAAACUCCUGUCAUGUGGGAUAAAUGGCCAGGGCAUGAAUAGUGCCUUGGAAUGAUAGUACCACAGGAGGAAGGGACAGCUAACUCUGUGCCAGCAGCCGCGGUAAUUCAGAGGUCCCGAGCGUUGUUCGGAUUUACUGGGCGUAAAGGGAGCGUAGGCGGUUUGGUGUGUCGAAUGUGAAAGCCCACAACUCAACUGUGGAAUGGCAUUCGAUACUACUGAGCUAGAGUACUGGAGAGGAGAGCGGAAUUCUUGGUGUAGCGGCGAAAUGCGUAGAUAUCAAGAGGAACACCGGUGGCGAAGGCGGCUCUCUGGACAGAUACUGACGCUGAGGCUCGAAAGUUAGGGGAGCAAACAG
This 429-nucleotide ribosomal RNA is filed under the name uncultured bacterium. RNAcentral describes it as "bacterial SSU rRNA". It matches the Rfam family "Bacterial small subunit ribosomal RNA", at positions 355 to 775 of the family's 1533-position model. The record is from RNAcentral.